RNAcentral lists this ribosomal RNA (484 nucleotides) under uncultured bacterium. Its description in RNAcentral is "partial 16S ribosomal RNA". It matches the Rfam family "Bacterial small subunit ribosomal RNA", at positions 30 to 507 of the family's 1533-position model. The record is from RNAcentral.
AUUGAACGCUGGCGGCAGGCCUAACACAUGCAAGUCGAGCGGAUGAAGGGAGCUUGCUCCUGGAUUCAGCGGCGGACGGGUGAGUAAUGCCUAGGAAUCUGCCUGGUAGCGGGGGAUAACGUCCGGAAACGGGCGCUAAUACCGCAUACGCCCUGAGGGAGAAAGUGGGGGAUCUUCGGACCUCACGCUAUCAGAUGAGCCUAGGUCGGAUUAGCUAGUUGGUGGGGUAAAGGCCUACCAAGGCGACGAUCCGUAACUGGUCUGAGAGGAUGAUCAGUCACACUGGAACUGAGACACGGUCCAGACUCCUACGGGAGGCAGCAGUGGGGAAUAUUGGACAAUGGGCGAAAGCCUGAUCCAGCCAUGCCGCGUGUGUGAAGAAGGUCUUCGGAUUGUAAAGCACUUUAAGUUGGGAGGAAGGGCAGUAAGUUAAUACCUUGCUGUUUUGACGUUACCAACAGAAUAAGCACCGGCUAACUUCGUG